This 261-nucleotide ribosomal RNA is filed under the name uncultured prokaryote. Its description in RNAcentral is "partial 16S ribosomal RNA". It matches the Rfam family "Bacterial small subunit ribosomal RNA", at positions 524 to 784 of the family's 1533-position model. The record is from RNAcentral.
UACGUAGGUGGCAAGCGUUAUCCGGAUUUACUGGGUGUAAAGGGCGUGUAGGCGGGUUUGCAAGUUGGAUGUGAAAUCCUCAGGAUUAACCUGAGAGGGUCAUCCAAAACUGCAGAUCUUGAGUACUGGAGAGGAUAGUGGAAUUCCUAGUGUAGCGGUGAAAUGCGUAGAGAUUAGGAAGAACACCAGUGGCGAAGGCGAUUCUCUGGACUGUAACUGACGCUGAGGCUCGAAAGCGUGGGGAGCAAACAGGAUUAGAUA